ACAAAACACGAGAAACAAUCUUACAUAGUGAAUAAAAAGACAAUACAAUAAGUUCUCUAACUACAAGACCUAAGGGUAUGAAUUUGAAGCAAGUAAAGGUCUUUGGAAGCUGAAGAUGCUUUUGCCUCUGGUGUUUAUAUGCAGUACAGUUUCCUUGCAUAAUCAGUCUGCUGAAGAUACUCCUCCCCCCUGGAAUCUGAUCACAUUCUUUUCCUUUAGGAAAUUGUUGUUAAAAUUGACAACAAACAUUAUGG
RNAcentral lists this unclassified non-coding RNA (254 nucleotides) under Hevea brasiliensis (rubber tree). The record is from RNAcentral. Lineage: Eukaryota; Viridiplantae; Streptophyta; Magnoliopsida; Malpighiales; Euphorbiaceae.